Molecule: small nuclear RNA, 107 nt
Organism: Colobus angolensis palliatus
Lineage: Eukaryota; Metazoa; Chordata; Mammalia; Primates; Cercopithecidae
Source: Ensembl
GUGCUCGUUUCAGCAGCACAUAUAUGAAGAUUGGAAAAAUACAGAGAAAAUUAGCAUGGCCCCUGUGCAAGGAUGACAGGCAAAUCUGUGAAGCAUUCCAUUUAAAA